GCGGGCGUGGUGUAGGGGUAACACACGAGCCUUCCAAGCUCGUAUCGCCGGUUCGAGCCCGGUCGCCCGCU
Molecule: transfer RNA, 71 nt
Filed under: Actinomycetota bacterium
Lineage: Bacteria; Bacillati; Actinomycetota
Description: tRNA-Gly
Rfam family: tRNA
About the family: Transfer RNA (tRNA) molecules are approximately 80 nucleotides in length.
Source: RNAcentral